GACGAACGCUGGCGGCGUGCUUAACACAUGCAAGUCGAACGGAAAGGCCCUGCUUUUGUGGGGUGCUCGAGUGGCGAACGGGUGAGUAACACGUGAGUAACCUGCCCUUGUCUUUGGGAUAACUUCAGGAAACUGGGGCUAAUACCGGAUAGGAGCUCCUGCUGCAUGGUGGGGGUUGGAAAGUUUCGGCGGUUGGGGAUGGACUCGCGGCUUAUCAGCUUGUUGGUGUGGUAGUGGCUUACCAAGGCUUUGACGGGUAGCCGGCCUGAGAGGGUGACCGGCCACAUUGGGACUGAGAUACGGCCCAGACGCCUACGGGAGGCAGCAGGGGGGAGUAUUGCACAAUGGGCGGAAGCCUGAUGCAGCGACGCCGCGUGCGGGAUGACGGCCUUCGGGUUGUAAACCGCUUUCGCCUGUGACGAAGCGUGAGUGACGGUAAUGGGUAAAGAAGCACCGGCUAACUACGUG
Molecule: ribosomal RNA, 468 nt
Filed under: uncultured bacterium
Lineage: Bacteria
Description: partial 16S ribosomal RNA
Rfam family: Bacterial small subunit ribosomal RNA
Source: RNAcentral